ACCGCUUCUCAGGUUUUGGCUAACAUCAGGUGUGUAUCUGUUAUUAGUUUAAUAUCUGAUAUAUCCUCUAUACAAGGAAAAUCUAUUAAAUAAAUUUUUGGAGGAGGGAGACAGAAUAGGAGCUUGCUCUAUCCACUACACACAUUGACAUGGUAUUGCAGUACCUUUAGGAACAAUGCAUCCCCC
This 186-nucleotide small nuclear RNA is filed under the name Carlito syrichta (Philippine tarsier). RNAcentral describes it as "U2 spliceosomal RNA (ENSTSYG00000021900.2)". It matches the Rfam family "U2 spliceosomal RNA". Rfam says of the family: U2 is a small nuclear RNA (snRNA) component of the spliceosome (involved in pre-mRNA splicing). Lineage: Eukaryota; Metazoa; Chordata; Mammalia; Primates; Tarsiidae. The record is from Rfam by way of RNAcentral.